Molecule: unclassified non-coding RNA, 328 nt
Filed under: soil metagenome
Description: partial contains 5.8S ribosomal RNA, internal transcribed spacer 2, and large subunit ribosomal RNA
Rfam family: 5.8S ribosomal RNA (bases 1-120)
Source: RNAcentral
GAUGAAGAACGUAGCGAAAUGCGAUAAGUAGUGUGAAUUGAAGAAUUCAGUGAAUCAUCGAAUCUUUGAACGCACAUUGCGCCCAUUGGUAUUCCAAUGGGCAUGCCUGUUCGAGCGUCAUUUGUACCCUCAAGCUUUGCUUGGUGUUGGGCGUUUGUCUUUCGAGACUCGCCUUAAAAAGAUUGGCAGCCGGCAUACUGGUUUCGGAGCGCAGCACAAAUUGCGGUCUGUUCCUGAAUGUUGACGUCCAUGAAGCCCCCAUUAUCACUUUUGACCUCGGAUCAGGUAGGGAUACCCGCUGAACUUAAGCAUAUCAAUAAGCGGAGGA